Molecule: long non-coding RNA, 956 nt
Organism: Astyanax mexicanus (Mexican tetra)
Lineage: Eukaryota; Metazoa; Chordata; Actinopteri; Characiformes; Acestrorhamphidae
Exons: 2
Source: RefSeq, a predicted model, not a curated record
GUUUAUUUUCCGCUUUGAUUGACUUUAAGAUCUCUUAAAGAGACAGAAUCCAGCUACACAGGUCUUCUGAGUUGGAUGGUUGAGUAUUUUUUUGGGUAAAUUGCAGUUUUAUUACAGAACACAGGAGAUAAAUACUGAAAUAAAAACCUUAAAAGAGCUCAGAACCUGAAACAGCCCCGGCCCUGAUCUCCUCCUCCUCCUCCAGCAGCAGAUCCUCGGUGCUGUUGGACUUUUUUUACUCUGGGAUUUGCUGUUAAAGUCCCGCUCUCUGCCCACCGCAGCGCCGAGGUCCAGAUGGAGUGACCAUCUGCCUGCUGGUGAGGAUGAAUGAGGAGCUGAGGAUGGGAUGGGAUUAGUCUCUGUGAGAGCAGAAUGCACUUUUUCACCCUGAAAGAGAGCAGGACUCAAAAAAACUCAAUUGUUCGUUCAGGCAAACGCUUUUUAUUCCAGCCUUUAAAGGUCACUGUAGCUCUUUAUCUGCUGUAAAGGGUAAACUGUUCUAUUUUCCUCACAUACAUUUAUAAAUAGUAUUUUUUAUAGCAUUUAAACUGUCCCUUCCCAUCCAUCCCUGGAUUUACAGCCUAAACUAAUCUCUGAGUCUGAGUGCUGAAGUUUCAAAACCAACCCAUUGAUUUCUCUAUUAUGUUUCUUUUUUGGUUUAUUUCAAACAAUGAUCUUUCAUAUAAUUCACUUUAGUUUCUGUUGGCGCUUCUGCUAGGGGUCCAUUGGGACUGUGCCUGCGUGAUAUAACUCGACUGGUGGUAGAUUGAGUGAGGUAAAUGUGGUAAAAUUAGAGUACAUUAUAGUGAGGUAGAGUCAGGUGGAGCAAGGCAGAGUGAGGUAUGGUGAGGUAUGGUGAGGUAUGGUGAGGUAUGGUGAGGUAUGGUGAGGUAGAGCGAGGUAGAGUGAUUUAGAGUGAGAGUAAGGUAUAGUGAGUGAGGCAGGGGUCAGCAAUU